UACGGGGGAGCAAGCGUUGUUCGGAUUUACUGGGCGUAAAGGGCGCGUAGGCGGCACCGCAAGUCGACUGUGAAAUCUCCGGGCUUAACUCGGAAAGGUCAGCCGAUACUGCGGGGCUAGAGUGCAGAAGGGGCAACUGGAAUUCUCGGUGUAGCGGUGAAAUGCGUAGAUAUCGAGAGGAACACCUGCGGCGAAGGCGGGUUGCUGGGCUGACACUGACGCUGAUGCGCGAAAGCUAGGGGAGCGAACGGG
This 252-nucleotide ribosomal RNA is filed under the name uncultured bacterium. RNAcentral describes it as "partial 16S ribosomal RNA". It matches the Rfam family "Bacterial small subunit ribosomal RNA", at positions 524 to 776 of the family's 1533-position model. The record is from RNAcentral.